GUCCCUCCUGGCUUGUGCGUCACCAGGACAGCCAUGCUAGCCAGGCCUCUCCAUCUUGCCUGGUUUGUGAGAGGGACUCCUCGACCGAUGAGCCGCCCACGGGCCUCAGGGGUGCAGUGUGGGGGAGCACCCCUAGUAAUCCUUCUGCCGCACUCAGAUUUGAGGGCACUGGUACAGAGCUGGGCCUCAGGAGGUGCCCUGGGGACAGGCAGCGGGGCAGUGGUGAUCAGGAAGGUCUUGGGUGGGGGUCCCUUGCCCAGUUCUCUUUCUCGCGUGAAGAUGGAGAAUGUGGGUAGCACCCAGAGAGCUCCCUAAAGGGGCUCUGAGGGCCCAGGGGCAGUUGGUGCCCCUUAAAUCUGAGCAACCUCUCCUGGGGGCCACUUCUUGGCCAGGUCAAAGUAUUCUGGCCAUGGUCUUGGCUUCCCGGGGGAGGGCUGUUCUCCCAGGCACUGAGAUUGCCCAUGGGCCUUCUCGUUGCAGGGAGGCGGCUGGGAUAGAGGCCAGUCCCAAACACCUGAGCCUCACUGAGGGGAAGGCCUGGGCUUGGAGAUGGGGUGCGCAGGAGUGGCUGGCUUUGCCUUGUUCUAUUAGGCGAGUGAUUUUCAGAGACAAAGGUCCAAGUUAGGAGACGUAAUUACUCAGUGCUUUGAAGGGACAUCCAAGGUGCUCACUCUUAGCCAUAGCCGUUGGUUUCCUGGAUGCUGACUGUGAAGAUUCUAAAGUGCUUCCUAGGGUGGGCGGUGGUGGCAGGAGGCCUUGGACGGAGUCCAGGCCAGACCCAGCCUCCUGUUUAAUAGGCUGAGCCCAAGCGUCCCUCAGAUGCGAAUCCAACAGCCUUGGUGAGUUGUAAGAUUUCAUGGAAACUUUCCCUGACUUCUGUCUCCCCCUUGCUCCCCAUUACCUGGGAAAGGCAGCUUUGUGGGCCAUGUGUCCCGGAAGGGCCUGGGCUGGCUGUGGCCCAGUGCUCAGGACCAGCCAUCUUGGCCCUCACAGCGCCCUGCCCAGUUGGUGUAAUAUUUGUCUUCAAGCCAUUGUUGGAGCAGGCAGGCAAAGGGGGCUUUCUGAGGAUCCAACGUGUGCCAGCCACUGGGAUACAAAGACAGGCCUGGUUCCUAGCUGUGGGGCUGGGAAGGGUAUCUGACAUCAAUGGUGGCACCUGGCAGAGGACACACAGACAACAGCAGGCAGCAUGGGCUGCAGUAAAUGUUGCAGAAGCACCUAAAGGUUGAGCAGAAGGGAGGUAGGAAACCUGGACAUGGCCUGCCAGCAGCUGAGAAGCCCCCCUGAGAUCCUGGCGGCCCCGCCACCAUCUGAAGAUUUAGGCCAGUCCCUUGGGCUUUUCAGGCAGGCCCUUAUGGUGGCCGGCCAGUUUGGGACCCUCCCAUUUUGAUACAUUAGUUCCCCCUCAGCUACUGGAGAUCUCAGCCACAACUGGGCUCCAGCUGUGACCCAGACUCCGCCAGGAUCCCCUAGAUCCUCAGCUGUCAGAUAAUCCCCUGUCCCCCUCCUCCUCCCCACUCAACCCCCAGUGCUUGACAUGAAUGCAUGUGUGCUUCCUAGGACUAGAGGCCGGUGCUGUCUCUACCAUUGCCCUCACUUUAAGGGGCACACGAGCAGAUGGUAGCAAGCCCUGGAGAGCAGCACUCGGGCAAGUGAGGUGGCUCUGGCACUGCCCC
Molecule: long non-coding RNA, 1676 nt
Filed under: Homo sapiens (human)
Lineage: Eukaryota; Metazoa; Chordata; Mammalia; Primates; Hominidae
Description: HSALNT0130480
Source: RNAcentral